AGGACGAACGCUGGCGGCGUGCUUAACACAUGCAAGUCGAGCGGAAAGGCCCUUCGGGGUACUCGAGCGGCGAACGGGUGAGUAACACGUGAGUAACCUGCCCUAGGCUUUGGGAUAACCCUCGGAAACGGGGGCUAAUACCGAAUAUUCAUUUCCGGCGGCAUCGCUGGUGGUGGAAAGUUUUUCGGCCUGGGAUGGGCUCGCGGCCUAUCAGCUUGUUGGUGGGGUGAUGGCCUACCAAGGCGACGACGGGU
This 254-nucleotide ribosomal RNA is filed under the name uncultured soil bacterium. Its description in RNAcentral is "partial 16S ribosomal RNA". It matches the Rfam family "Bacterial small subunit ribosomal RNA", at positions 26 to 284 of the family's 1533-position model. The record is from RNAcentral.